This 272-nucleotide ribosomal RNA is filed under the name uncultured Tropicibacter sp. RNAcentral's name for it is "partial 16S ribosomal RNA". It matches the Rfam family "Bacterial small subunit ribosomal RNA", at positions 355 to 644 of the family's 1533-position model. Lineage: Bacteria; Pseudomonadati; Pseudomonadota; Alphaproteobacteria; Rhodobacterales; Roseobacteraceae. The record is from RNAcentral.
UGGGGAAUCUUCGGCAAUGGGCGCAAGCCUGACCGAGCCAUGCCGCGUGAGCGAUCAAGGCCCUACGGUUGUAAAGCUCUUUCGCCAGGGAUGAUAAUGACAGUACCUGGUAAAGAAACCCCGGCUAACUCCGUGCCAGCAGCCGCGGUAAUACGGAGGGGGUUAGCGUUGUUCGGAAUUACUGGGCGUAAAGCGCGCGUAGGCGGAUCAGAAAGUUGGGGGUCAAAUCCCGGGGCUCAACCCCGGAACUGCCUCCAAAACUCCUGGUCUUG